Molecule: long non-coding RNA, 445 nt
Organism: Leptidea sinapis
Lineage: Eukaryota; Metazoa; Arthropoda; Insecta; Lepidoptera; Pieridae
Exons: 3
Source: RefSeq, a predicted model, not a curated record
UCCUGUCGAGUCGUUCUGUGAAGUUCCUAGCGUUUUUCUUUCAUAUUUGUGAUAUUUCAUCUGUUAGCAUGCCGAAAAGAAUUCAAAGUAGCGGAGGAAAUAUUAUAGUAUCGGUGCGUGAUUUCUGUGAAAGAGAAAAAGAAAAUAAUGCUCCUUUAAUUCCAUUUGGAAAUGUUCGUCAACGAGUUGCCGCCAUGACAGGAAUAUCUGAAAAAACUGUAAGCACUAUAACUAAAGACGGCGAAGAAAACUCUAUUUCACUAUUUCUUGUGAGAAAGUGAAAUAUUGUGAAAAACGUUUGAUAGCUAUGAAUGACAGCAUCAUGACGAACGGUAUUUUGCUGCGGGGUCAUCCUGCUGACAUUUAUAUAGUGUUUGCUAUGCAAAAUAGAGCUGUUCGUGCUAUAGAUAUAUAAGCUUGGUUAUAGACAGUCAGUCAAAAAAAA